GAAUUUCGUCAAAGCCGACCUCCUCCCCGGCGAUGACGAAUAUGGUCGACCUCCUCCUCCUCCCUGAGGUCGACCGCCGAAACGGUGCCCGCCGCAUCCUCCUCCCAGCGGCGGGCAUUGUUC
Molecule: small RNA, 123 nt
Filed under: Mesorhizobium hungaricum
Lineage: Bacteria; Pseudomonadati; Pseudomonadota; Alphaproteobacteria; Hyphomicrobiales; Phyllobacteriaceae
Description: Mesorhizobium sp. UASWS1009 Alphaproteobacterial ar14
Rfam family: Alphaproteobacterial ar14
About the family: Smr14C2 was renamed NfeR1 (Nodule Formation Efficiency RNA) highly expressed in salt stress and during the symbiotic interaction on legume roots.
Source: Rfam by way of RNAcentral